RNAcentral lists this ribosomal RNA (429 nucleotides) under Bacteroidota bacterium. RNAcentral's name for it is "Bacteroidetes bacterium partial 16S ribosomal RNA". It matches the Rfam family "Bacterial small subunit ribosomal RNA", at positions 355 to 776 of the family's 1533-position model. Lineage: Bacteria; Pseudomonadati; Bacteroidota. The record is from RNAcentral.
UAGGGAAUCUUCGGCAAUGGGGGGAACCCUGACCGAGCAACGCCGCGUGAGUGAAGAAGGUUUUUGGAUCGUAAAGCUCUGUUGUUAAGGAAGAACGAGUGUGAGAAUGGAAAGUUCAUGCUGUGACGGUACUUAACCAGAAAGGGACGGCUAACUACGUGCCAGCAGCCGCGGUAAUACGUAGGUCCCGAGCGUUGUCCGGAUUUAUUGGGCGUAAAGCGAGCGCAGGCGGGUAGAAAAGUCUGAAGUGAAAGGCAGUGGCUCAACCAUUGUAGGCUUUGGAAACGGUUUAAAUUGAGUGCAGAAGGGGAGAGUGGAAUUCCAUGUGUAGCGGUGAAAUGCGUAGAUAUAUGGAGGAACACCGGUGGCGAAAGCGGCUCUCUGGUCUGUAACUGACGCUGAGGCUCGAAAGCGUGGGGAGCGAACAGG